Ictalurus punctatus (channel catfish) is the source of this 1568-nucleotide long non-coding RNA. Lineage: Eukaryota; Metazoa; Chordata; Actinopteri; Siluriformes; Ictaluridae. The record is from Ensembl.
AAAUACAAUACUUUAGUUAUCUUUCUUCUUUCCAUAAAAUGUGCUUGUUCCUAUGCCGGCCAUUUUAGAUGUAGUGUAAGAAGUUGAUCCUCGCGUCACAGACUGUAACAUGACACAUCACUAGAAAGCCCAGAAUGUCCUCUAGAGUUACUAGAGUAGCUUAAAAAAGUCAGAGGACAUGCAUGAAAACAAAACAUCCACUACAGAGGACACAAGUCAAUGGGCGGAGUCUCAGGAGGAUAUAAAAACACUUUACCCAACCUGCUACACUACACAGCAGGGAAAAGCCUGUCAGUCGAAGACGAAGCUACUGUAACUCGAUCACAGCACGGCUGCUAUAUAGUUCUAUAUAUUUUCUAUUUUAUUCAAACCUGUUCUUGAUUUAAAGAAGAAUCUAAUUAAAUUUUAACCCCUCCAGAUAUUCUUCAUCAGAUUACAGGGUGAACUAUGAACUACAGACUCCACACAACCUGACCAUGACCUCUUUGAACUCUGUUGCUGAAAAAUACAGGAAGCUGGAGAGAGCUGUGACCAUUUUGGAAACACUCAACCAGAAGAUGAAUGAAAUCAUGAAAUGGCUGGAGGUCCAUAAGAAUGACUCUGUUGAACUCGAGGGAAUUGAUGUCCCCUUGGAGUCAGGAAUCCUGGCCAAGUUCCUUCAACAACUCUCAACGGCUCUGGGGAACAUGAAGCGACUAGCAGACGACAUCAACCAACUCAACCAGAGCAAACAACCAAUCAAAGAUGCCCAGAUUAUAACCAUAAACCGCAGCAUGAUCCGUAUUGUGUCAACAUUUGAGUCUCUCGCCCAGUUCAAAGAAGAAAAGCAAAGCAAAAUCGCUGCAUUGGCAUCACUUCCUGUCAGCGUGGAGGAAGCGGAGGAGUGGAAGCGUGAGCUGGGUUCUGAUGGUGGUCCUACUCUUCAGCUCUUACAUCUUACCCUGUACAAAUACAAGUAAAAGGGCAUGGACUGUCCAGAACCAGAAGCGUAAAAUGGUGUCCUGAUUCACUGCCUGUUGUUUCAAUCAGUAUAUACACAAUUCUGAUGAUUUUAUUGUUUUUAAUCAGUAUAUUCUUAGUUAGUUAGUAUUGUUAUAAUUAACUAGUUGGAUUAGGUUAAGAAGUCAAUCUUUUAAUGCUCUGAUAUUUCAGUGUGGCGGUACUGUUUUCAGAUUCCUUUGUGUACGGAAAAUUCAAAGGUAAAAUAAUUUCUAUAACAAUUGCAGUAAAUGUUUUUUGUUGUUGUUCAUUCUGGAUUAACGAUAAAAAUAGAAAAAGAGAGAAAAAGAGAAUAUUUAAAAUUCUCUGAUCAUCAUAUGAUAAUCCUUAUGUUAUUCCUUAGUGUGUAUCCACUAACCUGUGUUAGAAAAGAUGCACCAAUGUUCAAGGACGUGUGUGUGUGUGUGUGUGUGUGUGUGUGUGUGUGUGUGUGUGUGUGUGUGUGUGUGUGUGUGUGUUAGUGUUAGUUUGCUAAAAGACUUCCUUUAUACUCAUAUCAAACACCAGAUGGAUGAUCUGUAGAGUGCCCUUGUUUUGAAAGUGUAUAAAACACUUUGGGUCAAGCUGGA